RNAcentral lists this long non-coding RNA (513 nucleotides) under Sorghum bicolor (sorghum). RNAcentral's name for it is "long non-coding RNA (SBIC_LNC002229)". The record is from RNAcentral. Lineage: Eukaryota; Viridiplantae; Streptophyta; Magnoliopsida; Poales; Poaceae.
ACCCCUUGUCUUAAGUUUUCAUCGGGUCCUGCCCCAUGGGCAACAGCUUCUACACUUCCCACCAUCGGCAUCGAUGACCAAUCUUCUCCUAUCAGCAUUGGCGAUCAAUCUACAAUAAUCAGCAGUCGUCACUUCCAUCCUCAGGCUAGCAGCACCAACUAUCGUCUCAUCACCGGCAUUAUUCAAAUCGACUCUCGGCACCUUUCUGCCGAUCCGGCAUAACAAUUUCCCUAUUACCGAUGAGCUCUCCUCAACCGUCUUGACUCAUACCAAAAAAAUGAUGUCAACACACCUUCUUCCAUCAUAAACCCCGGUCUCUCCAUGCUUGGUAAAACAAAUGUAGUUUGGCAUGAAACCCGACUCGAACAAGUGCAAGUGAAUACUUCUUGAGCUACAAAAUUCUUUAAAAUUCAUACAUACGGCACAUGGGCAACACAUAAAACUAUCCCGCUUGUUUUGCUCUGCCACUCUUAAGAAUUCUCACAGGCCUGUAAUGAACUCAUUGGAGCGGCG